Molecule: ribosomal RNA, 801 nt
Filed under: uncultured bacterium
Lineage: Bacteria
Description: bacterial SSU rRNA
Rfam family: Bacterial small subunit ribosomal RNA
Source: RNAcentral
AGAAAGUGGUCUUCGGACCGCAAGUAGAGUGGCGCACGGGUGAGUAACGCGUAGGUAAUCUACCCCUUAUACCUGGGAUAACAUUGGAAAACUGGUGCUAAUACCGGAUACACUUUACUGCUGCGGGGCAGUAGAGGAAAGGUGGCCUCUUCAAGAAAGCUACCGUAUAGGGAUGAGCCUGCGUACCAUUAGCUAGUAGGUGGGGUAACGGCCCACCUAGGCGACGAUGGUUAGCGGGUCUGAGAGGAUGAUCCGCCACACUGGAACUGGAACACGGACCAGACUCCUACGGGAGGCAGCAGUGAGGAAUAUUGCGCAAUGGGGGAAACCCUGACGCAGCGACGCCGCGUGAGUGAGGAAGGCCUUCGGGUCGUAAAGCUCUGUCAGAAGGGAAGAAGUGUUAGAUGGUUAAUACCCAUGUAAUUUGACGGUACCUUCAGAGGAAGCACCGGCUAACUCCGUGCCAGCAGCCGCGGUAAUACGGAGGGUGCUAGCGUUGUUCGGAAUUACUGGGCGUAAAGGGCGCGUAGGCGGCUGGAUAAGUCAGAUGUGAAAUCCCACGGCUUAACUGUGGAAGUGCAUUUGAAACUGUCCGGCUUGAGUAUCGGAGGGGAGUGUGGAAUUCCCGGUGUAGAGGUGAAAUUCGUAGAGAUCGGGAGGAACACCGGUGGCGAAGGCGACACUCUGGACGAAUACUGACGCUGAGGCGCGAAAGCGUGGGGAGCAAACAGGAUUAGAUACCCUGGUAGUCCACGCCGUAAACGAUGUGAACUAGAGGUAGGUGGUGUUGAUCCCAUCUGU